Molecule: transfer RNA, 74 nt
Filed under: Comamonadaceae bacterium
Lineage: Bacteria; Pseudomonadati; Pseudomonadota; Betaproteobacteria; Burkholderiales; Comamonadaceae
Also listed under: 1 other name
Description: tRNA-Gln
Rfam family: tRNA
About the family: Transfer RNA (tRNA) molecules are approximately 80 nucleotides in length. Their secondary structure includes four short double-helical elements and three loops (D, anti-codon, and T loops).
Source: RNAcentral
UCCCCCGUGGUGUAAUGGCAGCACAGAUGACUUUGACUCAUCUGGUCGAGGUUCAAAUCCUUGCGGGGGAACCA